RNAcentral lists this ribosomal RNA (450 nucleotides) under uncultured bacterium. Its description in RNAcentral is "SSU rRNA". It matches the Rfam family "Bacterial small subunit ribosomal RNA", at positions 26 to 518 of the family's 1533-position model. The record is from RNAcentral.
AGAACGAACGCUGGCGGCAUGCCUAACACAUGCAAGUCGAACGAAGCCUUCGGGCUUAGUGGCGCACGGGUGCGUAACGCGUGGGAACCUGCCUUUAGGUUCGGAAUAACUCACCGAAAGGUGUGCUAAUACCGAAUAAUGUCUUCGGACCAAAGAUUUAUCGCCUUUAGAUGGGCCCGCGUUGGAUUAGCUAGUUGGUGGGGUAAAGGCCUACCAAGGCGACGAUCCAUAGCUGGUCUUAGAGGAUGAUCAGCCACACUGGGACUGAGACACGGCCCAGACUCCUACGGGAGGCAGCAGUGGGGAAUAUUGGACAAUGGGCGAAAGCCUGAUCCAGCAAUGCCGCGUGAGUGAUGAAGGCCUUAGGGUUGUAAACCUCUUUCAGCAGGGACGAAGCGAAAGUGACGGUACCUGCAGAAGAAGCACCGGCAACUACGUGCCAGCAGCCGC